GAGCGCGCCUUCGGGUGAGCGGCGGACGGGUUAGUAACGCGUGGGAACGUGCCCUUCUCUACGGAAUAGCCUCUGGAAACGGAGAGUAAUACCGUAUACGCCCUUUGGGGGAAAGAUUUAUCGGAGAAGGAUCGGCCCGCGUUAGAUUAGGUAGUUGGUGGGGUAACGGCCUACCAAGCCUACGAUCUAUAGCUGGUUUUAGAGGAUGAUCAGCAACACUGGGACUGAGACACGGCCCAGACUCCUACGGGAGGCAGCAGUGGGGAAUCUUAGACAAUGGGGGCAACCCUGAUCUAGCCAUGCCGCGUGAGUGAUGAAGGCCUUAGGGUCGUAAAGCUCUUU
RNAcentral lists this ribosomal RNA (342 nucleotides) under uncultured marine bacterium. RNAcentral describes it as "bacterial SSU rRNA". It matches the Rfam family "Bacterial small subunit ribosomal RNA", at positions 64 to 436 of the family's 1533-position model. The record is from RNAcentral.